GAUGAAGAACGUAGUGAAAUGCGACAAGUAAUGUGAAUUGCAGAAUUCCGUGAAUCAUCGAGUCUUUGAACGCACAUUGCGCCCCCUGGUAUUCCGGGGGGCAUGCCUGUCCGAGCGUCAUUGCUGCCCUCAAGCACGGCUUGUGUGUUGGGCCCCCGUCCCCGGUUUCCCCCGGGGACGGGCCCGAAAGGCAGCGGCGGCACCGCGUCCGGUCCUCGAGCGUAUGGGGCUUUGUCACCCGCUCUGUAGGCCCGGCCGGCGCCAGCCGACACCCAACUUUAUUUCUAAGGUUGACCUCGGAUCAGGUAGGGAUACCCGCUGAACUUAAGCAUAUCAAUAAGCGGAGGA
RNAcentral lists this unclassified non-coding RNA (348 nucleotides) under soil metagenome. RNAcentral's name for it is "partial contains 5.8S ribosomal RNA, internal transcribed spacer 2, and large subunit ribosomal RNA". The stretch from base 1 to 120 matches the Rfam family "5.8S ribosomal RNA", at positions 35 to 154 of the family's 154-position model. The record is from RNAcentral.